GAGGGAGCUAAUUUGUACUGAAGCUUGACAUGAGCAAGACUUAUGAUCAUGUUGAAUGACACUUGGUAGAGGAGAUUAUUUGAAGAUAGGUUUUGCAGUAGAAUGAGUCAUUUCCUUUUUUUUCUUUUUUGUUGUGAGGGUUUAUCGUUAUUACUGCGAUUUGCGCGUCGAGACGGUUUGGUGAAAGGGGUCAAAACAUCUUGAUCAGGGUCGAUGGUGUCCCAUUUUUUUUUUUUUGAUGAUAGCUUGAUUUUUGAGAGGCAACAUCAGUCGGGGUGGAGAAUAUGAAUAAAUUUUGAAAGAGUAUGAGGAACAUUCGGGGCAAAUGGUGAAUUUUAAUAAAUCCCUUAUUUGCUUUAGAUCAAACGUUGAUGAGGAAACUCGU
Molecule: long non-coding RNA, 385 nt
Filed under: Gossypium raimondii (Peruvian cotton)
Lineage: Eukaryota; Viridiplantae; Streptophyta; Magnoliopsida; Malvales; Malvaceae
Description: long non-coding RNA (GRAI_LNC007420)
Source: RNAcentral